UAUGGCGGCCAUAUAUAAAAACCAAAAUUUCACAUGUUUCCAGUCAAUGUAGACGUUAAUAUUUACGAUAUUGAAAUCUGUUUAUGAAGUUUGUUGUCAUUUUCUAUUUUUAUCCUAAAAUUAUUUUUUUUACACACCGGCCCGUGACCCACCUCAUUUUCACCUUUGUUUUAGCCACAUAAAAAAUAGGUAAUAAAUAAAUAUCUAUCUUUUCUAUUUAUCAUAUCUUACAAUAUAUAUAUAUUCUCUUUCGACCCGACUUUAAAUUAUUCCUUACAAUGUCUUCAUCGUCAUCUACCGAAUCUUCAAUUGUAACCAGGUUUUCUUCAACAAACAAGGAAAAAGUGAGAUUCGAGGACUCUUCAACGUUUACUAUGUCGUCAUCUACCGAAUCUUCAUGUGCAACCAGGUUUUCUUCAACAAACGAGGAAAAAGUGAGAUUCGAGGACUCUUCAAUGUUUACUAUGUCGUCAUUUACCGAGUCAUCAAAGGAAACCAGAUUUUCUUCGUCGUCGAAAAGAAAAGAUAGGAUGGAAAAUCCUUUAAGGAAGGACUAGCCCUGUCAAUCGAACGAAUUCGAACCGGAUACCCCUAUAUCCGAAUUCGAAUUCGAUUAGUAUCCGGAUAAUCCGAAUUCGUCCGAUUAGUAUUCGAAUUUCAAAAUCCGUAUCCGAAUUCGAAUUCGAUUAAAAAUAUCCGAAUUCGGAUAUCCGAAUUCGAUUCGAAUAACAUUUAUAAA
RNAcentral lists this long non-coding RNA (739 nucleotides) under Zostera marina. Its description in RNAcentral is "long non-coding RNA (ZMAR_LNC003737)". Lineage: Eukaryota; Viridiplantae; Streptophyta; Magnoliopsida; Alismatales; Zosteraceae. The record is from RNAcentral.